Pelobates cultripes (western spadefoot toad) is the source of this 118-nucleotide non-coding RNA. The record is from the annotation of a GenBank genome assembly. NCBI's taxonomy places the organism in Eukaryota, Metazoa, Chordata, Amphibia, Anura, Pelobatidae.
CAAAGUAAACAUUUAUUACACAGAAAAUAGGUGGAGCAAGUGAUAAUAAUAGUAAAAUGUACAUUUUACUGUUAUCACUUGCUCCACCUAUUUUCUGUGUAAUAUAUGUCAUUUUAUG